This 336-nucleotide long non-coding RNA is filed under the name Olea europaea (common olive). Its description in RNAcentral is "long non-coding RNA (OEUR_LNC009169)". Lineage: Eukaryota; Viridiplantae; Streptophyta; Magnoliopsida; Lamiales; Oleaceae. The record is from RNAcentral.
UAAAUUACUAUUAUAAAUCCCAACAAAGACACUUAGUCCAUGUUAUAUAAAUGAUAAAUAGGAAAAUAUUUAUAACAAUGUAUUACAAAUAUGGCAAAAUAAUUGAGAGAAUGCAAGAUUAAAUAUAUAACCCUUUUUGUUUGGAUUCUCGAAGAUGAUAAUGGCUUGAAUCUUGUAUUCCCCAAAUAUUUCUCCACCUUCCUUGAUGUAUUUUCCCUUUGUUACUCUAGAUUCACUCUCAAAAUACCAAGAAAAAGAAAAUAAAAUAAAAGGAAAAACACAAAAAGAAAAGGAAAAAGAAAGAUAAAAGAAAAAUGAAGAAGAAGCCGCCCCAGC